CAGUGGGACACCAACACGCUCACACACGCACAGAGUUCAGCCGAUUUAUCAUAAUAUGCUUUAUCUGAAAAGUAAGUAUCUUACCUCGGGAUAAAGGGAGGAUAGUGGGGCUUGUAGUCAGAUUGGCAGAGGAAGGGAGAGGAUGGAGGGAGCGAGUCGGCUGGUCCAAAGGGAGGACAUGAAGGACCUGUUUGGAACAGAUUAUGACUGAUAAGAUACAGGGACCCAUACGCCGACACAAUGGGGAAGUGUUGUACCCAGGAACCUAGGUCUCUACGGCACUGGGAGAUAUGAUUGACAGAUGGACCUGGAAGGACCACCAUCGUACAUAGAUGAAGGGAUGGAUGGAUGAACAGGUCCUGUCACUGUGUCUACCAACUCUGCACCCCUGAAUAGUCCAGAGAGCCACAAGCCCUCACAGUGAACCAAGGUGCUCCAGUGAAUACGGAGAGAGGGCCUGGAUGGGAGGGCUGCAGGGGUUUCCCAUGGUCUCACUUAGAAGGAACUGUUACUUAGAAUGAAUUGUCAAAGCUUCUUUCAGUAGUGUUGAUCCUAAUUGAACUGUCUGCAAACAAGCAAACAGAUAAAGAAUCUGAUUUAAGUGGAUAACACCAUUUGGAUUUAUCGACAUGAAGCUGAAACCCAGCGAUACUCAGGUUACGUUUCAUAUACUGUACUGAACAAAAAUGUAAACGCAACAUGCAACAAUUUCAACUAUUUUUUACUGAGUUACAGUUCAUAUAAUGAAAUCAGUCAAUUUAAAUAAAUACAGAUACCCAGUCGGGAAUACAGAUACCCAGUCGGGAAUACAGAUACCCAGUCGGGAAUACAGAUACCCAGUCGGGAAUACAGAUACCCAGUCGGGAAUACAGAUACCCAGUCGGGAAUACAGAUACCCAGUCGGGAAUACAGAUACCUUUAAAAAAAAAGAAGGUAGGGGCGUGGGAUCAGAAAACCAGUCAGUAUCUGGUGUGACCACCAUUUGGCUCAUGCAGUGUGACACAUCUCCUUCGUAUAGGCAGUGGAACACACUGUCGUACACGUCAAUCCAGAGCAUCCCAAACAUUCUCAGUGGGUGACAUGUCUGGUGAGUAUACAAGCCAUGGAAAAACUGGGAUAUUAUCAGCAGACAGGAAUUGUCUCCAGAUCCUUGCGACGUGGGGCUGUGCAUUAUCAUGCUGAAACAUGAGGGGAUGGCGGCGGAUGAAUGGCACGACAAUGGGCCUCAGGAUCUCGUCACGGUAUCUCUGUGCAUUCAGGUUGCCAUCAAUAAAAUGCAAUUGUGUUCGUUGUCCAUAGCUUAUGCCUGUCCAUACUAUAACCCCAUCGCCACCAUGGGGCACUCUGUUCACAAUGUUGACAUCAGCAAACCGCUCGCCCACACACAACGCCAUACAAGCUGUCUGCCAUCUGUCCGGUACAAUUGAAACCGGGAUUAAUUAGUGAAGAGCACACUUGCCAUCGAAGGUGAGCAUUUCCCCACUGAAGUCUGUUACAACGCCGCACUGCAGUCACGUUAAGACCCUAGUGAGGAUGAUGAGUACGCAGAUAAGCUUCCCUGAGAUGGUUUCUGACAGUUUGUGCAGAAAUUAUUUGGUUGUGCAAGCCCACAGUUUCAUCAGCUGUUUGGGUGGCUGGUCUCAGAUAAUCCUGCAGGUGAAAGGGGGUACCUAGUCAGUUGUACAACUGCAAAUUUUCUUAAAACGAUGUUGGAGGCGGCUUAUGGUAGAGAAAUUAACAUAAAAUUAUCUGGCAACAGCUAUGUUGGACAUUCCUGCAGUCAGCUUGCCAAUUGCACAUGUUGUGUGAUAAAACUGCACCUUUUAGAGUGGCCUUUUAUUGUCCCCCAGCACAAGCUGCACCUGUGUAACAACAAUGCUGUUUAAUCAGCCACACCUGAAUUAUUUUGGCAAAGGAAAAAUGCUCACUAACAGGAAUGUAAACAAAUUUGUACAACACAUUUUUGAUAAAUAAGCGUUUUGUGCAUUUGGAACGUUUCUGGGAUCUUUUAUUUCAGCUCAUGAAACAUGGGACCAAGACUUUAAAUGAUUUAUAUUUUUGUUCAGUGUAUAUAGUGAAAACAAAUAACAGCACAUCGAUACAACUUUCCCUGAUGUACUGUGUAGUUCAGUGGUACUAUAGCUAAAGUCACAUUAUAGAGUUAAGGAAACACCAGUAUUUUGUUCUGCUAAUAUACACCCUUAGAGAAAAAGGUGCAUCUAGAACCUAAAACAGUUAUUUUGCUGUCCCCAUAGGAGAACCCUUUGAAGAUCCCUUUUUGGUUCCAGGUAGAACCAUUUCCCCAGAGAGUUGUACAUGGUACCCAAAAGAGUUCUACCUAGAACAAAAAGGGUUCUCCUAUGGACGCAGCCAAAGAACCCUUUCGGAACCCUUUUUUCUACAAGUGUAUUGAGAACAAAAAUGAUAUGUGGACAGAGAUAAAUGAAUAGGAAUUGAUAAAAUGUUACUGCUUUAGAAUGAGGUUUUAUUUAGAAUUAUAGCAAGGGUCCAGUGUUGUAAUUCAAUAAAAUGACAUGACAAAAAAUACAAUCUGACUUUGGUGCCAAUGUCUGCAGGCUACAUUGUGCUUUUGCCACUUACAGUUGACGACCUAUGUUUAUACAGUAUUUCUUCCUUUAAUAAUCGUACCUAGCCUGAUUUUAUAUUGGUCUCUCCUGUCUGUGUGCCUAAUGUUGUGUGUUUAUGCUGGUGUUAAUCUGUAUCGUAGCUAUGCGUACUGUAUAUAUUUGAGUGUGCCUCUGCAUAUAUACAGAUUGUCAGGUGUGUGGCAGUAAUUGACAAGGACACUGAUCCGGUGGCUAGAUUAGAAGGUCAGUGUGGGUGGAAACUAGGAAAGAGGGACAGCUAUUCCUGAACCGGAGAAUAUAUAGAACAUGACUUUUCUGUCCUGCUGCCCGACAUACUCACCCACAAAUUGAUGUACACAAUAGAUAUUCACCCUCAUUUACUUCAGGACAACAACCCUGUUAGGCAUUUCUAAUCAGAUGCUACUGUUUAAUGUUGCAGGCAAAAAUAGCAGAUUUCUUAAAAUGAACAAGUCUGCAAACUACACCUACAAUAUUAAAAGUAGCACCUGAGUAGAAAUAUGUAUGUGCAAAGGAAUUGAGGGGACAUAACCUGAAUUAAGGGGACAUAGACUAAUUUAAUUAUGCUACAUCCCCUCAAUUCCUAAGAACAUAUUUUGAUUACCAUAAUAAAACAGAUUUCUACUAGUUUCCUGAACAUGUUAAGCAACAUGGUGGAAAACUUCAGUCAUACUUGUUCAGUGGGGAAUUCUAAAAGUCAAGAAGACAGAUUCGAUCUUUAUGUUGAUUCGUCCUGUCCACCCCUGUGAGAGAUGUGCUAUUCUGAGGCACUUGCAUGCUUGCAGCCUCAAUCAUGUAUUUCCACUUUAACAUCAGUACACUUCUAGCAGUUCAUUAGGGCAGACUUUCACAUAUUUUACAAUAAAACGGGAUAGAGCUAAACAAAUAUAAAUGAGUUUGAAUGUUGAAGAGAUAGCAAGGGUCUCUGAGGCUGAGCCCAGUUUUUAUGCUAGUGUUAAUUAAUUUAUCAAUGUGAUGACGGAACAAAUAAACUGAGCACUUUUUGGACAUUCUCUAUAAGGAUGUUCUCUCUCUGAUCUGAAGACUUCACAUAAAAACAGAGACACAUAGAAUGACACUGUGCUCUAGGCCUAACUUACCACAGCUGAGAACAGAUAUCUGAUACAGUAAUGUUGAUUGUUUCUGUAAGGAUUCAGUUGUAUAUGUCAGAUAAAACAGUACAGCUCCAACGGUCUGAAUAUUGUUGAAGAGAUACCUAAAAUAAUGUUUAGUAUAGGGCUCUACAGAUACCCUCCAUCCAUGGACUUCACGUCAUUCAGAGUAUGACUUGUCUAGUUGGCUCGUUGUUCAAAUGUGGUACUUUACUGCCCUCUAGUGGUCGUUUUGUAUCUCAAAAAAAUAAUAAAGAACACAAUCCACGUAAAAAACAAAGUUUUUCCAUUGCCUCAAAACAUGGGACAAGACUACCAAUUGGAUACCACGAAAUUCGGGAAAUAAAGAGGUAAAAAACUUGAUUCACUACUGGACACUUUCUGUGUAACUCCUUUUCACAAGGAUUCAAUUUUUUUUUUUUUUUUAUCACACACGAUAACCUAUUUUGUCCAGUAUUUGAAACAACAUUGGACUGAGAUUGCUAAUGCAUUCAGAAGAACACCAGAUUGUGAUGGUCAUAGCAAACAAACCUUACUCAUAAUGGUCAAAGUUGUGCUUUUCACAGCUCUGGCGAUAACAUCAAAUAUCUAUGUUAGUAAUUGAUUGAUAGUCAAUGGACUAAACAAAAUUGACAGAAGACAGGUGUGUGUGUGUAACAUCCAUUUACCACCUUAUAUGAGAAAUCUGGAAAUUACAAACAUUGUUUUAUUUCAGCAUCUUAACAUUUCAAAUUCAAAUUAAGAAAUAAAAAUGAUUUAAGUUAAAAGGGUGACACAUCAACCUGAGAAACAUUACACAAAUGUAGAAUCUGGAGCAAAGUGAAGGGGGAGGUCUAAAUAUCUCUGACCAUCCCAUUUAUAGCUCCCAUAACAUUAACAUAAAUUAUCACUUUACCAAUUACACUAUUUUUGGUUUGCAAGAGAGCAUUGACCACCAAGCUCCAUUACCCUCACAACAAGGCCCCUCAGGAGCGAUCACAAAGAAUAUCACUGGAUUCACUAUUUGUUUAAAAAAGCCUUAAAAUGCUGUCUCCAAUUAUUUAUCACUGAAACCAAAUUUGAGAAUUCAAAGACAAAGGGAAAACAGUGUCAAUCAGGUAAAGGGGAAAUGAAAUGAGAAUGAACCAUCAAGGAUCCCCUUUGACAGCCAAAAUAAGCUUACGUCGAUGUUGUUUUCUGUACAAAAUUUAAUUAGAAUCCCCCAUCUCCAUUUCAUUCACAAAUAUUAUUUCCACGAUGAAAAAUGUGCGUAAGCAAAAAAAUUAAAAAGAAUACAUUGACAACCAGUCCCAUGUGGCUCAGUUGAUAGAGCAUGGUGCUUGCAACACCAGGGUUGUGGGUUCAAUUCCCACAGGGGACCAGUCAGGAGAAAGUAUGGAAAUGUAUGCACUACUGUUAGUCACUCUGAAUAAGUGCAUCUGCUCAAUGAUGUAAAUAACCAUGAUAGUGAUGAUCAAUAUUGUAAGAAUAAACCAUUGCUCCAGA
This is a long non-coding RNA of Oncorhynchus kisutch (coho salmon), 5203 nucleotides long. RefSeq lists it as uncharacterized. The record is from RefSeq and is a predicted model, not a curated record. The transcript is spliced from 2 exons. NCBI's taxonomy places the organism in Eukaryota, Metazoa, Chordata, Actinopteri, Salmoniformes, Salmonidae.